GCCAGGUGCGGUGGCAUGUGCCUGUAGUCCCAGCUACUCGGGAGGCUGAGGUGGGAGGAUCACUUGAGUCCAGAAGUUCUGGGCUGCAGUGCGCUAUGCCAAUCGGGUGUCCGCACUAAGUUUGGCAUCAAUAUGGUGACCUCCCGGGAGCGGGGGACCACCAGGUUGCCCAAGGAGGGGUGAGCCGGCCCAGGUCAGAAACGGAGCAGGUCAAAACUCCCGUGCUGAUCAGUAGUGGGAUCUCACCGGUCAAUAGCCACAGCACUCCAGCCUGGGCAACACAGCAAGACCCCGUCUCUU
This 300-nucleotide signal recognition particle RNA is filed under the name Aotus nancymaae (Ma's night monkey). Its description in RNAcentral is "Metazoan signal recognition particle RNA (ENSANAG00000007183.1)". It matches the Rfam family "Metazoan signal recognition particle RNA". Rfam says of the family: The signal recognition particle (SRP) is a universally conserved ribonucleoprotein. It is involved in the co-translational targeting of proteins to membranes. The eukaryotic SRP consists of a 300-nucleotide 7S RNA and six proteins: SRPs 72, 68, 54, 19, 14, and 9. Lineage: Eukaryota; Metazoa; Chordata; Mammalia; Primates; Aotidae. The record is from Rfam by way of RNAcentral.